This 492-nucleotide ribosomal RNA is filed under the name uncultured Sphingobacteriales bacterium. Its description in RNAcentral is "bacterial SSU rRNA". It matches the Rfam family "Bacterial small subunit ribosomal RNA", at positions 903 to 1382 of the family's 1533-position model. Lineage: Bacteria; Pseudomonadati; Bacteroidota; Sphingobacteriia; Sphingobacteriales. The record is from RNAcentral.
GCUCAGAAACUACAAAGGAAGUUGACGGGGGCCCGGCACAAGCGGUGGAGCAUGUGGUUUAAUUCGAUGAUACGCGAGGAACCUUACCUGGGCUCAAAUGUAUGUUGACGUAUUCUGAAAGGGAUACUUCUUCGGACAAUAUACAAGGUGCUGCAUGGUUGUCGUCAGCUCGUGCCGUGAGGUGUCGGGUUAAGUCCCAUAACGAGCGCAACCCCUAUCAUUAGUUGCCAUCAGGUCAAGCUGGGGACUCUAAUGAAACUGCCUACGCAAGUAGUGAGGAAGGUGGGGAUGACGUCAAAUCAGCACGGCCCUUACGUCCAGGGCUACACACGUGCUACAAUGGCCGGUACAAAGGGCAGCUACCUGGUGACAGGAUGCUAAUCUCAAAAGCCGGUCUCAGUUCGGAUCGGAGUCUGCAACCCGGCUCCGUGAAGCUGGAAUCGCUAGUAAUCGCGCAUCAGCCAUGGCGCGGUGAAUACGUUCCCGGGCCUU